UAAUGGCUUACCAAGGCGACGAUCCCUAGCUGGUCUGAGAGGAUGAUCAGCCACACUGGAACUGAGACACGGUCCAGACUCCUACGGGAGGCAGCAGUGGGGAAUAUUGCACAAUGGGCGCAAGCCUGAUGCAGCCAUGCCGCGUGUGUGAAGAAGGCCUUCGGGUUGUAAAGCACUUUCAGUCGUGAGGAAGGUAGUGUAGUUAAUAGCUGCAUUGCUUGACGUUAGCGACAGAAGAAGCACCGGCUAACUCCGUGCCAGCAGCCGCGGUAAUACGGAGGGUGCGAGCGUUAAUCGGAAUUACUGGGCGUAAAGCGCAUGCAGGUGGUUCGUUAAGUCAGAUGUGAAAGCCCGGGGCUCAACCUCGGAACUGCAUUUGAAACUGGCGGACUAGAGUACUGUAGAGGGGGGUAGAAUUUCAGGUGU
This 426-nucleotide ribosomal RNA is filed under the name Vibrio mediterranei. Its description in RNAcentral is "bacterial SSU rRNA". It matches the Rfam family "Bacterial small subunit ribosomal RNA", at positions 258 to 676 of the family's 1533-position model. The record is from RNAcentral. Lineage: Bacteria; Pseudomonadati; Pseudomonadota; Gammaproteobacteria; Vibrionales; Vibrionaceae.